Molecule: long non-coding RNA, 857 nt
Organism: Setaria italica (foxtail millet)
Lineage: Eukaryota; Viridiplantae; Streptophyta; Magnoliopsida; Poales; Poaceae
Exons: 2
Source: RefSeq, a predicted model, not a curated record
GCCUUUGUACCCUUAAGUUUUGCAGAAAACUGACGUAUCCACGUAUCCGUAUCGGGCCGAUAUAUCCGUAUCGGUGUAGCAUAGGCGGUGACCGCGGCGGAGAGCCCAAGCAGUGAUGCCCCUUGCGAAGCGGGCGGGAUCCACGGCGUGCUCGAGCUCCGCGCCUCCGCCAUGCGUCCCGCAAGGCCUCGUCCAUCUCCAUCCGGACCGGAGGAGCUCCGCUCUACAGCUGCGGAGAAGACGCCGCCGAGCGUGCCUAGACAGCAUGCGCUCAACCUCCCCUGUAUACUCUCUGCCUCCACUGUUGUGCAUGUAGCUAAGCUCUUCCAUCAAUGAUGAUGUAGCAGGCUGAGCCGCUGAGGACGUCUAAGCCUCAAAAUUGCUGCUGCAAGAUUCGACCCUGCGUCCCUGCUGUUUGCACCCAAAAGAUACGCAUCCUUGUAUACUUCAAAAAAUUUCUCAAUCAAAUUGGUAGCUUGAUAUCUCUAGUGCAGAUCAUUGAAAUCCUAGCAAUCAGCAUGUUCAUUGUCUUGCUUGGUUGAUAUCAAACAGAUCUGCACAUGGAUAAUACUAAAGCCAUGCUUAAAGGUACAAAUCUUUUUGCAUGCAAGAUUUAUAGUAUGCUUAGAUUAGGCUUUAAUGUGCCUAAGUUGUUCCCUCUGUUAGGCGAGAUUUCAUUGUGUAAUAGGAUUCAUAAAUGAAAGCUUAGACAGUAGGUUGGUACAGAACUACAGAUUACAACUUAGUUAAUUUAGUUGGACUAAACAAAUAAAUAGAGACUGAGAAAGAAACAUGGUAGUGUGUAUGAAUAUGUUUGAGAAACCUAUCCAUCUUAAUCAUGUAAAUUUUAAUACUUC